RNAcentral lists this long non-coding RNA (417 nucleotides) under Homo sapiens (human). Its description in RNAcentral is "non-protein coding lnc-CHPT1-5:1". The record is from RNAcentral. Lineage: Eukaryota; Metazoa; Chordata; Mammalia; Primates; Hominidae.
CUUUUUUAACAUUAACACUGAGGAUUCCACAGAAAUUGCAUUUUAUAAACCAAAUUAAGUGCAUCAGUGUUGUGCUGUGUUUGGGUUUCCUAACAUUCCUUACAUGUGGCAUUGUCCCAUGUUCCCAUUUUUACUCAGUUGGAGACACACUAGUCUGGUGUUUGAGCCUGGAAUGAGGAAAGGGGAGUGGGAGGAAGAUAAGUGGUAUCCCAUUCUCUCCCACUGCCUGAUUCUGGCAAGCCAGUAAGCCCAGCCGUCUCCCCACACACAUACUCUUGGUCUGGCUCUGAAUGCCCCACAUUCUCCAGUCCAGAAUGUCAUGCAUCUGCAUCAUGUCUGUUGCACAAGAGAGCAACCACAGCCUCAAGCCCUGGAGGAGAAGCCUCUGACUCUCCUUGGUCACUCCCAGCAGAUUCA